This 321-nucleotide ribosomal RNA is filed under the name uncultured Prevotella sp. RNAcentral's name for it is "bacterial SSU rRNA". It matches the Rfam family "Bacterial small subunit ribosomal RNA", at positions 28 to 339 of the family's 1533-position model. Lineage: Bacteria; Pseudomonadati; Bacteroidota; Bacteroidia; Bacteroidales; Prevotellaceae. The record is from RNAcentral.
GAUGAACGCUAGCUACAGGCUUAACACAUGCAAGUCGGAGGGGCAGCAUGGUCUUAGCUUGCUAAGGCCGAUGGCGACCGGCGCACGGGUGAGUAACGCGUAUCCAACCUUCCCCGCAGUAGGGCAUAGCCCGGCGAAAGUCGGAUUAAUACCCUAUGUUCUUCGUUGCGGGCAUCUAAGAUGAAGCAAAGAUUUAUCGCUGCGGGAUGGGGAUGCGUCUGAUUAGGUAGUCGGCGGGGUAACGGCCCACCGAGCCAUCGAUCAGUAGGGGUUCUGAGAGGAAGGUCCCCCACAUUGGUACUGAGACACGGACCAAACUCC